This is a non-coding RNA of Schistosoma mattheei, 45 nucleotides long. The record is from Rfam. Lineage: Eukaryota; Metazoa; Platyhelminthes; Trematoda; Strigeidida; Schistosomatidae.
AUCCCGCUGACAAGUCCCAAACAGGACUGAACGCGCAUCCUGGAU